This 916-nucleotide ribosomal RNA is filed under the name uncultured archaeon. Its description in RNAcentral is "SSU rRNA". It matches the Rfam family "Archaeal small subunit ribosomal RNA", at positions 1 to 923 of the family's 1478-position model. The record is from RNAcentral.
UUUCCGGUUGAUCCUGCCGGACCUGACUGCUAUCGGAUUGAUACUAAGCCAUGCUAGUCUUUGUAGUAAUACAAGGCAUACGGCUCAGUAACGCGUAGUCAACCUACCCUAUGGACGGGGAUAAUCUCGGGAAACUGAGCAUAAUACCCGGCAGACCACUUAUCCUGGAAUGGUUAGUGGUUAAAAUGAUUCGUCGCCAUAGGAUGGGACUGCGGCCUAUCAGCUUGUUGGUGAGGUAAUGGCCCACCAAGGCGAUUACAGGUACGGGCUCUGAGAGGAGAGGCCCGGAGAUGGGUACUGAGACAAGGACCCAGGCCCUAUGGGGCGCAGCAGGCGAGAAAACUUUGCAAUGUGCGAAAGCACGACAAGGUUAAUCCGAGUGAUUUCUGCUAAAGGAAUCUUUUGUUAGUUCUAAAAAUACUAGUGAAUAAGGGGUGGGCAAGUUCUGGUGUCAGCCGCCGCGGUAAAACCAGCACCUCAAGUGGUCAGGAGGAUUAUUGGGCCUAAAGCAUCCGUAGCCUGUUCUAUAAGUUUGCGGUUAAAUCUAUACGCUCAACGUAUAGGCUGCCGUAAAUACUGUAGAACUAGGGAGUGGGAGAGGUAGACGGUACUCGAUAGGAAGGGGUAAAAUCCUUUGAUCUAUUGAUGACCACCUGUGGCGAAGGCGGUCUACCAGAACACGUUCGACGGUGAGGGAUGAAAGCUGGGGGAGCAAACCGGAUUAGAUACCCGGGUAGUCCCAGCUGUAAACGAUGCAGACUCGAUGAUGCAAUGGCAUAGAGCUAUUGCAGUAUCGCAGGGAAGCCGUUAAGUUUGCCGCCUGGGAAGUACGUACGCAAGUAUGAAACUUAAAGGAAUUGGCGGGGGAGCACCACAAGGGGUGAAGCCUGCGGUUCAAUUGGAGUCAACGCCGGAA